UUAAGUGUCAAUGUUUAAAAAUGAUAUAUCAUUGAUUCUACCUAUGUAAAAUAUAGUAAGUUUAUUGUUUUAUUUUAUUUUUUUAAAAAAACUAUCUUGGUAUACGAUUGUAAGUUAAACGGCGAGUGAUGUGUAUGCGGAAAUAGAAUUAACGCCAAUUACAUCAUGAAGUACUGUGGUCGCAACUUUAUAUAAUUCAAGUAUAUUUCGAGAAGGCUGAUUACUGGAGCAUCAAAUGUACAACAGUAUCGAUAUAGCCAUCUACCGGCGACAGUAUCAUCCGUGCAAGCAAUUCAGAUCGAUGGCCUUCCAGAGCGCACCACACGAAUAGAAUUAAAUUAUCUUAUCGCCGCUUAAUUUCACAAUGAUUAUACUUUUAUACACCUGAACUUACAUAAUUGUAUAAUGUUAUUAAUUAUCAAGUAUUAUUUAAAAUGUACUUAUUUUUUUUUUUUUUUUUUUGAUUGAUUUAUUGUAUAAAUUGAAAGUG
Long non-coding RNA from Aphis gossypii (cotton aphid), 490 nucleotides. RefSeq lists it as uncharacterized. The record is from RefSeq and is a predicted model, not a curated record. Lineage: Eukaryota; Metazoa; Arthropoda; Insecta; Hemiptera; Aphididae. The transcript has 3 exons.